GCCCUCGUGGUGGAAUUGGUAGACACGCUGGUCUUAGGAACCAGUAGCGCAAGCUGUUCCGGUUCGAGUCCGGACGAGGGCACCA
RNAcentral lists this transfer RNA (85 nucleotides) under Oligoflexia bacterium. RNAcentral describes it as "tRNA-Leu". It matches the Rfam family "tRNA". Rfam says of the family: Transfer RNA (tRNA) molecules are approximately 80 nucleotides in length. The record is from RNAcentral. Lineage: Bacteria; Pseudomonadati; Bdellovibrionota; Oligoflexia.